Molecule: ribosomal RNA, 409 nt
Filed under: uncultured Thermanaerovibrio sp.
Lineage: Bacteria; Thermotogati; Synergistota; Synergistia; Synergistales; Synergistaceae
Description: bacterial SSU rRNA
Rfam family: Bacterial small subunit ribosomal RNA
Source: RNAcentral
GACAUGUACGUGGUACGGAUCUGAAAGGUGAAGGACGGUACCUUCGGGUACCGAGCGUACACAGGUGCUGCAUGGCUGUCGUCAGCUCGUGUCGUGAGAUGUUGGGUUAAGUCCCGCAACGAGCGCAACCCUACGCUGAGUUACCAGCACGUAAAGGUGGGGACUCUCAGUGGACUGCCGGCGACAAGCCGGAGGAGGGUGGGGACGACGUCAAGUCAUCAUGGCCCUCAUGUCCAGGGCGACACACGUGCUACAAUGGCCGGCACAACGGGAAGCGACGGCGCGAGUCGUAGCGGAUCCCUCAAAGCCGGUCCCAGUUCGGAUUGCAGUCUGCAACUCGACUGCAUGAAGCCGGAAUCGCUAGUAAUCGUGGAUCAGCCAAGCCGCGGUGAAUACGUUCCCGGGCCUU